Molecule: ribosomal RNA, 162 nt
Filed under: Disa aconitoides subsp. goetzeana
Lineage: Eukaryota; Viridiplantae; Streptophyta; Magnoliopsida; Asparagales; Orchidaceae
Description: 5.8S ribosomal RNA
Rfam family: 5.8S ribosomal RNA
About the family: 5.8S ribosomal RNA (5.8S rRNA) is a component of the large subunit of the eukaryotic ribosome. It is transcribed by RNA polymerase I as part of the 45S precursor that also contains 18S and 28S rRNA.
Source: RNAcentral
UAGGACUCCCAACAAUGGAUAUCUUGGCUCUCGCAUCGAUGAAGAGCGCAGCGAAAUGCGAUACGUGGUGCGAAUUGCAGAAUCCCGUGAACCAUCGAGUUUUUGAACGCAAGUUGCGCCUGAGGCCAACUGGCCAAGGGCACGUCCGCCUGGGCGUCAAGC